This 253-nucleotide unclassified non-coding RNA is filed under the name uncultured Chloroflexota bacterium. RNAcentral's name for it is "uncultured Chloroflexi bacterium contains 16S-23S intergenic spacer region". It matches the Rfam family "Bacterial small subunit ribosomal RNA", at positions 524 to 776 of the family's 1533-position model. The record is from RNAcentral. Lineage: Bacteria; Bacillati; Chloroflexota.
UACGUAGGGGGCAAGCGUUGUCCGGAUUUACUGGGCGUAAAAAGCUCGUAGGUGGCUCGUCAAGUCGGUCGUGAAAUCUCUCGGCUUAACCGGGAGGGGUCGUCCGAUACUAGCGGGCUCGAGGCCAGUAGAGGGAAGCGGAAUUCCGGGUGUAGUGGUGGAAUACGUAGAUAUCCGGAGGAACACCAGUGGCGAAGGCGGCUUCCUGGACUGGUUCUGACACUGAGGAGCGAAAGCGUGGGGAGCGAUCCGG